Molecule: long non-coding RNA, 633 nt
Filed under: Manacus vitellinus (golden-collared manakin)
Lineage: Eukaryota; Metazoa; Chordata; Aves; Passeriformes; Pipridae
Description: lncRNA (ENSMVIG00005004910.1)
Source: RNAcentral
GUUUGGGCACUUCACUUUCCCUUUCUGGUGGGAAUUAGUGGCUUUGGAAUGAGGAGUGGGAAGCUCCAGUCCCCAAAAAAAGCACUUUGCUGCAAACAACACUGCCUUAAAGUGUGCUUUGGGUAAAUUCAGUAUAUUUAACACAUGCAGGUGAAAACCAACAGUUAUCCAGGAUUUUCAGAGCUCUUUUGUUUCAUUCCCAGACAACCCAUCCCGUGGUCUCCACAGUCCAGCAAACGGCCACCACCACCAGCUCUGCCACUGAGGAUCACUCCAAGCAGGUUUGGCUGCUUUCCACUUGUGUUUCCCCCUUUCUCCUGCCUUCUGACACCAUCCUGAUCACCAAUCCUUGGUCAUUAUUUAUGGAUUUCCCUAGAAAUCCACGUGGACAGAGCACAAAUCUCCCGAUGGAAGAACUUAUUACUACAACACCGAGACGAAGCAGUCGACGUGGGAGAAGCCAGAUGAUCUCAAAACACCUGCUGAGCAACUGUUGUCCAAGUGUCCCUGGAAAGAGUAUAAAUCAGAUUCUGGGAAGCCUUAUUAUUACAAUUCCCAAACCAAGGAAUCCCGCUGGGCCAAACCCAAAGAGCUGGAGGAUCUUGAAGCAAUGAUUAAAGCUGAAGAAAACAG